ACCCAGUCCGCGAGAACCGGGCGGACCGC
RNAcentral lists this small RNA (29 nucleotides) under Bombyx mori (domestic silkworm). RNAcentral describes it as "ovarian small RNA-252". The record is from RNAcentral. Lineage: Eukaryota; Metazoa; Arthropoda; Insecta; Lepidoptera; Bombycidae.